RNAcentral lists this ribosomal RNA (358 nucleotides) under uncultured bacterium. RNAcentral describes it as "bacterial SSU rRNA". It matches the Rfam family "Bacterial small subunit ribosomal RNA", at positions 29 to 414 of the family's 1533-position model. The record is from RNAcentral.
AAUGAACGCUGGCGGCAUGCCUAACACAUGCAAGUCGAACGAGACCUUCGGGUCUAGUGGCGCACGGGUGCGUAACGCGUGGGAAUCUGCCCUUGGGUUCGGAAUAACAGUUAGAAAUGACUGCUAAUACCGAAUGAUGUCGUAAGACCAAAGAUUUAUCGCCCAGGGAUGAGCCCGCGUAGGAUUAGCUAGUUGGUGUGGUAAAGGCGCACCAAGGCGACGAUCCUUAGCUGGUCUGAGAGGAUGAUCAGCCACACUGGGACUGAGACACGGCCCAGACUCCUACGGGAGGCAGCAGUGGGGAAUAUUGGACAAUGGGCGAAAGCCUGAUCCAGCAAUGCCGCGUGAGUGAUGAAGG